AGCUCCAAUAGCGUAUAUUAAAGUUGCUGCAGUUAAAAAGCUCGUAGUUGGAUUUCUGGGCUCAAGAAUUUGGCCGGCCACGGUUUCGUGUGUUAGUGCUUUGUUCUGUGUCCAUCCUUCCAAUUGCUAUGGCUAUUCUUCAUUGAUUGGUCAGUAGUAUUGGAUCUUUUACUUUGAAAAAAUUAGAGUGUUUCAAGCAGGCUUAUGCUAUGAAUACAUUAGCAUGGAAUAAUAAUUUAGGACUUCUGUUCUAUUUUGUUGGUUUCUAGGACUGAAGUAAUGAUUGAUAGGGAUAGUUGGGGGUGCUAGUAUUCAGCGGCCAGAGGUGAAAUUCUCGGAUUCGCUGAAGACUAACUUAUGCGAAAGCAUUCACCAAGGAUGUCUUCU
RNAcentral lists this ribosomal RNA (387 nucleotides) under uncultured Cercozoa. Its description in RNAcentral is "bacterial SSU rRNA". It matches the Rfam family "Eukaryotic small subunit ribosomal RNA", at positions 587 to 972 of the family's 1831-position model. The record is from RNAcentral. Lineage: Eukaryota; Cercozoa.